UACGAAGGGGGCUAGCGUUGUUCGGAUUUACUGGGCGUAAAGCGCACGUAGGCGGCUUUGUAAGUUAGAGGUGAAAGCCCGGAGCUCAACUCCGGAAUUGCCUUUAAGACUGCAUCGCUAGAAUUGUGGAGAGGUGAGUGGAAUUCCGAGUGUAGAGGUGAAAUUCGUAGAUAUUCGCAAGAACACCAGUGGCGAAGGCGGCUCACUGGCCCGGUACUGACGCUGAGACGCGAAAGCGUGGGGAGCAAACAGG
Molecule: ribosomal RNA, 253 nt
Filed under: uncultured bacterium
Lineage: Bacteria
Description: partial 16S ribosomal RNA
Rfam family: Bacterial small subunit ribosomal RNA
Source: RNAcentral